RNAcentral lists this ribosomal RNA (709 nucleotides) under Rhodococcus sp. (in: high G+C Gram-positive bacteria). RNAcentral describes it as "bacterial SSU rRNA". It matches the Rfam family "Bacterial small subunit ribosomal RNA", at positions 24 to 750 of the family's 1533-position model. The record is from RNAcentral. Lineage: Bacteria; Bacillati; Actinomycetota; Actinomycetes; Mycobacteriales; Nocardiaceae.
UCAGGACGAACGCUGGCGGCGUGCUUAACACAUGCAAGUCGAGCGGUAAGGCCUUUCGGGGUACACGAGCGGCGAACGGGUGAGUAACACGUGGGUGAUCUGCCCUGCACUUCGGGAUAAGCCUGGGAAACUGGGUCUAAUACCGGAUAUGACCUCCUAUCGCAUGGUGGGUGGUGGAAAGAUUUAUCGGUGCAGGAUGGGCCCGCGGCCUAUCAGCUUGUUGGUGGGGUAAUGGCCUACCAAGGCGACGACGGGUAGCCGACCUGAGAGGGUGACCGGCCACACUGGGACUGAGACACGGCCCAGACUCCUACGGGAGGCAGCAGUGGGGAAUAUUGCACAAUGGGCGAAAGCCUGAUGCAGCGACGCCGCGUGAGGGACGACGGCCUUCGGGUUGUAAACCUCUUUCAGCAGGGACGAAGCGCAAGUGACGGUACCUGCAGAAGAAGCACCGGCUAACUACGUGCCAGCAGCCGCGGUAAUACGUAGGGUGCAAGCGUUGUCCGGAAUUACUGGGCGUAAAGAGUUCGUAGGCGGUUUGUCACGUCGUUUGUGAAAACUCACAGCUCAACUGUGAGCCUGCAGGCGAUACGGGCAGACUUGAGUACUGCAGGGGAGACUGGAAUUCCUGGUGUAGCGGUGAAAUGCGCAGAUAUCAGGAGGAACACCGGUGGCGAAGGCGGGUCUCUGGGCAGUAACUGACGCUGAG